GGAAUUAGCAAUGCAUUACUGAUAUUCAGGCAUCGCCGUGCAGUUACAGGCAUUGUACAGAUCCGAAUGGACUGUCUGUGUUUGUCUUCUGUUCAGUAUUGUCGCAUUUUUCAGUAAUGUGCGUCAACAGCUGUUGGGACCAGGCGAGAAGCCCCGCAAGAAGGUAGCUGGCUCCGGCUGGUGUUAUAGCUUGUGGUGUGCAAGUUUGGGCUCGACAGAGGAGUCGCGGCACAU
RNAcentral lists this ribosomal RNA (234 nucleotides) under Zanclea sango. RNAcentral's name for it is "partial 28S ribosomal RNA". The record is from RNAcentral. RNAcentral also lists the same sequence under 53 other names. Lineage: Eukaryota; Metazoa; Cnidaria; Hydrozoa; Anthoathecata; Zancleidae.